ACCUGGUGAUAUGGGCAUUUAUGGAGCAAGUCCCUAAAGUGCUCCCACAUUUCGAAAAAAAGUUCCCCAUCCAUCUGUGACAAACUUGUGAUGGCUAUUCGAAGUU
Molecule: small nucleolar RNA, 106 nt
Organism: Malania oleifera
Lineage: Eukaryota; Viridiplantae; Streptophyta; Magnoliopsida; Santalales; Ximeniaceae
Source: RefSeq, a predicted model, not a curated record